This 472-nucleotide long non-coding RNA is filed under the name Bos taurus (domestic cattle). RNAcentral's name for it is "long non-coding RNA NONBTAT005014". The record is from RNAcentral. Lineage: Eukaryota; Metazoa; Chordata; Mammalia; Artiodactyla; Bovidae.
CCUUCAAUUCCUUUAGGAUGGGACAACCCACACAGAGAAAUGCAUUCAGGCAUUAUUCCAAGAGGCUCACCUCCACGGCCCAGAUUAGAUGAUUCUAUAUAGAUAAUAGCUAUCCCCCCAGACUUAGAGAGCAUGCAUGCCUCUUCGAGGAGUAAAAAGCCAACAGAAGCUGCCACCUCUGAGCAUCUACCUGGUGGCCUUGCACCCCAGUGAUGGUGUGACUGCUCUCUGAUCUCCCAGCCCUGACCCCACACCCAGCGGUAGCUCCACCCCUCCAUCAUGGUACUGUGGUCAGCACUUAAUAUCAUGGACUUGUAGUUCCAGCAGUCUCAGCAGGAGUAUGAGGAAAGACAGUUUCCUUUGUGACCUGUAGGAAAUUUCCAUGUCUGAGUCUCAUUUCACACUAACAACUGACCCCUCCUUCAUAGACCUGGUCUUUUGAACAAGCGGUCUCUCUCAUUGAGAGAUAUUG